Molecule: ribosomal RNA, 714 nt
Filed under: uncultured eukaryote
Lineage: Eukaryota
Description: SSU rRNA
Rfam family: Eukaryotic small subunit ribosomal RNA
Source: RNAcentral
GCGGUUAAGCUCGUCGUUGGAUUUCUGUUGAGGUCGAACAGUGCCGCCCUAUGGGUGAGCAACUGGAUCGGCUUCGGCAUCUUCUUGGAGAGCGCAUCUGCACUUAACUGUGUGGAUCGUACUUCAAGUCAGUUACUUUGAGGAAUUGUGAGUGUUUCAAGCAGGCUUACGCCGUUGAAUCCGUUAGCAUGGAAUAAUAGAAUAGGACCUCGGUUCUAUUUUGUUGGUUUUGAGAGCUGGGGCAGCGAUUGAUAGGGACGGAUGGGGGCGUCCGAACUUUACUGUCAGAGGUGAAAUUCUUAGAUCGGUCAAAGGCGAACUACUGCGAACGCAUUCGCCAAGAAUGUUUUCUUUAAUCAAGAACGAAAGUUAGGGGAUCGAAGACGAUCAGAUACCGUCCUAGUCUUAACCAUAAACGUUACUGACUAGAGAUUGGAGGUUGUGAUUCACAAACUCCAUCAGCACCUCUAUGUGUAAACAAAGUCUUUGAGUUCUGGGGGGAGUAUGGUCGCAAGACUGAAACUUAAAGGAAUUGACGGAAGGGCACCACCAGGAGUGGAACCUGCGGCUUAAUUUGACUCAACACGGGGAAACUUACCAGAUCAAGACAUAGUAAGGAUUGACAGAUUGAGAGUUCUCUCUCGAUUCUAUGGGUGGUGGUGCAUGGCCGUUCUUAGUUGGUGGAGUGAUUUGUCUGGUUAAUUUCGUUAACGA